Molecule: long non-coding RNA, 131 nt
Organism: Trifolium pratense (red clover)
Lineage: Eukaryota; Viridiplantae; Streptophyta; Magnoliopsida; Fabales; Fabaceae
Exons: 3
Source: RefSeq, a predicted model, not a curated record
AAAAAAAAUAUAACCACUCAUGAUUUAAGCUUUUCAGUCAAAGGGUUUGAGAAUCUUCAUUCUCUUUUCCAGAUCUGUUCUUAAAGUUGAGAGGAGAUCUGUGGCUCUUGCUAUAAAUUCUUCACUUUAUG